GUGCUCACCUUCACAGCACAGACGCUAAAACUGGAGAAUUUAUAAAUAAGGUUAGCAUGGCCCCUGCCCAAGGAAGGCAUAUACUCAUGAAGCAUUUACUGUUUUU
RNAcentral lists this small nuclear RNA (106 nucleotides) under Peromyscus maniculatus bairdii (prairie deer mouse). The record is from RNAcentral. Lineage: Eukaryota; Metazoa; Chordata; Mammalia; Rodentia; Cricetidae.